Molecule: non-coding RNA, 125 nt
Organism: Armillaria borealis
Lineage: Eukaryota; Fungi; Basidiomycota; Agaricomycetes; Agaricales; Physalacriaceae
Source: the annotation of a GenBank genome assembly
GGCGAGAUGGCCGAGCGGUUAAGGCGUGUGACUCAAGUAAUUGCGUAAUCGUUACGUAAUCAGCUUGCCCGAUUCGGGUUUCUCAUCAUCGUAUGAUGGCAGGGGUUCGAAUCCCCUUCUCGUCA